Small nucleolar RNA from Tupaia belangeri (northern tree shrew), 134 nucleotides. The record is from Ensembl. Lineage: Eukaryota; Metazoa; Chordata; Mammalia; Scandentia; Tupaiidae.
UGCGCCUGGCCUGGGUAGAGUGGCAUCUGACUGGCAGUGCCACCUCACAUCAUCCAGGGACAAAGCAACCCCUUGUUUACCCCAGCUUGGCUUUUGGUCAGUGGCCAUGCCUGAUUCACGCUUUGGACAUCUGG